Molecule: ribosomal RNA, 801 nt
Filed under: uncultured bacterium
Lineage: Bacteria
Description: bacterial SSU rRNA
Rfam family: Bacterial small subunit ribosomal RNA
Source: RNAcentral
GGACGGGUGAGUAACGCGUGGGAACGUGCCCUCUUCUGCGGAAUAGCCACUGGAAACGGUGAGUAAUACCGCAUACGCCCUUUUGGGGAAAGAUUUAUCGGAGGAGGAUCGGCCCGCGUUGGAUUAGGUAGUUGGUGGGGUAAUGGCCUACCAAGCCGACGAUCCAUAGCUGGUUUUAGAGGAUGAUCAGCCACACUGGGACUGAGACACGGCCCAGACUCCUACGGGAGGCAGCAGUGGGGAAUCUUAGACAAUGGGCGCAAGCCUGAUCUAGCCAUGCCGCGUGAGUGACGAAGGCCCUAGGGUCGUAAAGCUCUUUCGCCUGUGAUGAUAAUGACAGUAGCAGGUAAAGAAACCCCGGCUAACUCCGUGCCAGCAGCCGCGGUAAUACGGAGGGGGUUAGCGUUGUUCGGAAUUACUGGGCGUAAAGCGCGCGUAGGCGGAUUGGAAAGUUGGGGGUGAAAUCCCGGGGCUCAACCCCGGAACUGCCUCCAAAACUUCCAGUCUGGAGUUCGAGAGAGGUGAGUGGAAUUCCGAGUGUAGAGGUGAAAUUCGUAGAUAUUCGGAGGAACACCAGUGGCGAAGGCGGCUCACUGGCUCGAUACUGACGCUGAGGUGCGAAAGUGUGGGGAGCAAACAGGAUUAGAUACCCUGGUAGUCCACACCGUAAACGAUGAAUGCCAGUCGUCGGCAAGCAUGCUUGUCGGUGACACACCUAACGGAUUAAGCAUUCCGCCUGGGGGAGUACGGCCGCAAGGUUAAAACUCAAGGAAUUGACGGGGGCCCGCACAAGCGGUGGAG